Molecule: non-coding RNA, 27 nt
Filed under: Mus musculus (house mouse)
Lineage: Eukaryota; Metazoa; Chordata; Mammalia; Rodentia; Muridae
Source: RNAcentral
UAAAACAGGUGUUUGCUGCUGGCUCAG